Molecule: transfer RNA, 71 nt
Filed under: Erythrocebus patas (red guenon)
Lineage: Eukaryota; Metazoa; Chordata; Mammalia; Primates; Cercopithecidae
Description: tRNA-Phe
Source: RNAcentral
GUCUACGUAGCUUAAACCACCCAAAGCAAGACACUGAAAAUGCCUAGAUGGACUCACAUAUCCCAUAGACA